UACGUAGGGGGCUAGCGUUGUCCGGAAUCAUUGGGCGUAAAGCGCGUGUAGGCGGUCCGGUAAGUCCGCUGUGAAAGUCGGGGGCUCAACCCUCGGAUGCCGGUGGAUACUGUCGGGCUUGAGUACGGAAGAGGCGAGUGGAAUUCCUGGUGUAGCGGUGAAAUGCGUAGAGAUCGGGAAGAACAUCAGUGGCGAAGGCGGUCUGCUGGGCCGUUGCUGACGCUGAGGCGCGACAGCGUGGGGAGCAAACAGG
Molecule: ribosomal RNA, 253 nt
Filed under: uncultured bacterium
Lineage: Bacteria
Description: partial 16S ribosomal RNA
Rfam family: Bacterial small subunit ribosomal RNA
Source: RNAcentral